AUGCCCGUCGUACCGGCCAGCCGGCAUUUUGAUGUCUACCACGCCGUUGCUGAGGAAGAAGCUGGCGUCGCGUCCAGCGAAAGCGACGAUGUCAGCGCACGAGACAACCCCACCGCACUCCUUCUCAAGCUUCGCCUUUGCGGCGUCGAUCACCUCGAAGCCGCGGAGGCUGGGGAAGUUUGGAAUGCCAAGCUUCUCCGGCUCCGGGUUGGCCGUCGUCGCGUCUAG
This 228-nucleotide ribosomal RNA is filed under the name Triticum aestivum (bread wheat). RNAcentral's name for it is "partial small subunit ribosomal RNA". The record is from RNAcentral. Lineage: Eukaryota; Viridiplantae; Streptophyta; Magnoliopsida; Poales; Poaceae.